RNAcentral lists this long non-coding RNA (4808 nucleotides) under Sus scrofa (pig). RNAcentral describes it as "lncRNA (ENSSSCG00000056504.1)". Lineage: Eukaryota; Metazoa; Chordata; Mammalia; Artiodactyla; Suidae. The record is from RNAcentral.
GUUCUCCCUAUUCCUGGCCAGUCAUGUCAGGAAGUCUGGACAUCCCAUUUGGCCAAAAUCUUUGCUGAAGAUAAAGAAAUAACCCUUAGCACCUGGGAUAAAUGGAGAAACAAAACUGAAGUCAUGAAAAGUUGCAACAUUAUUAAGAGAGACUUGGAUUCACUGGAAAUUUAUUAACCCAGGUAUGUAAAAAGCUUCCAACCAGAAAUAAUAAAUGGUCUCUAGCUCCCUUGUUUCUAAACAUUGCUUCUUUUCAUUAUUUUUGUCCUUUCACCUUUUUUUUUUCCUAUCUCCCCAACCCCCUUGAUUAAUAGAACAGAGGCAGGAUUUUCAGAAAACGGUUCUUGACAGUCAUCAGUAUGAGACUGUACAAAUUCUCUUGAGCAAGAGGCAUGAAUACUGGAACAAGCUCCAACUGUUCCAACCAUAAGUCUUGCAGCAGUUAGAGAUGAAAAGUGUAACCUAAGCCAAGACUCAAGGACAUAUAUCUCUCUUACCCUCACACUAUAAAAGUACAAUCUGAUUUUGACAAUGAGUUAGGUGACUUACCUGGUAUUCAGGUGCUUCCUGAUGUGAAUCAGCUCAAUAAAGUCUUUUACUUCUGUUUGAGUCACAAACUAAUUUUUUUUUCUAUGACAAGAAUAUACUAGUGCUUACGCAGGAAAAAAAUCAGCAAUUUCCAAAAUCAGUUCAAACAUUUCAUUAUUAAUUUAAUGUUAUAUAAUAAAGUUACUAAUAUAUUGAACAAUAGGCAUUAUGCUAUGAAUUUGAGAGGCAUUUCCUAAAUGAUGCUUGCUUGGAAUAUCCACAUUUAUGUUCACUUUUGUUAGCACUUUUGGUUCACAGAAAUAUAUUGCACACAGUCAGAAGUCCAAGAGAGGACAAAGCUAUGGUUUAAACAAUCUGCCCACCAGCCACUUCAAAAUGCUUGUUCCCUUAAAUCAGCAUGACAUGGUUGAUAUCACUCACUGGAUUUUAGGACCCUCUCAUUUCCUACAUACUUCUUAGGGUGUAAUCAACUCACCAUGCUGCGUGUGAUUUAAGGAUUUAAAAAUAAACAUGUCAGACAAUAUUUUUCCCUGAAUGCAAGGCAGCUCCUUCAUCUGGUUCUCUAUCAAAGCAACAGGGAACUGUUCUGGUUAGGAAGAAGGAGAUGGCUAUAAUGUUCGCCUUAUUAGCUUGUUUUAGAAUUUAGUUGCCAUAAGAUGCAGGUCUACUGUCUAUUUGGUAUUGAAUGCUAGUUUGUAUCCUCAGUGUAGAAUAAUGCCUAGCAAACCCACUAUGCAGCCUAUGACAGACUUUUCAGUUUAGAAAACUAUAAUCUUAAGUCAGACUUUCACUUAGGCCUUGAACCUAGCCUGUGAAUGUGUCCAAACAUGGCUUGUAGAUAGGAAAUGCAGGACCUGGGAAAUCUAACACUAUGUAGUUUCCUUUUCUUAGUAACAUACGGAAUAAAUGAAAAUCUACUUAGCUAAAAAGCAGUUGGCACAGAAUAUCGAUCAACUGUUAGUUUUUUUAAACCUGACUAUCAAAAGUUAAAUAAUAAAACAACCAUAUCCAAUAUUUUCAAAGCAUCAGAAAAUCAGUACUCUUACACAGUGUUGUUGGACAUGCAGAUCGACACAGUCCUCUUUUGAGAACUGUUUAAUAGCAUCAAGUAGAAACCCUUUGCUGUGCCUUUUCUGUUUUUCCAAUUUUUUCCUUCAGAAUUAGUGAUUCAUGUGCACAAAAAUAUAUGGACAAGGGAUUUUUUAUUACAGUAUUGUUUAUAACAUAAAAAUAUUGUAAAUGACAUAAAUGCUCAGAUAGAGGAAUGGCUAAAUAAAUUAUGAUAUAUCCAUUCUACAGCAUUCAAUGUCUCAUGAAAAAACAAAAUGAAAUAGAACUACAUAUAGUGAGAAAUGUCCAAAGAUGUCCAAGAAACAUGGGUUAAGUGAAAAAAUCAAGCCUUAGAAGCCUGUGAAAUGCUAUAUAAUUUCCUCCCCAAAUUGUUUUCCAUUGUCUCCUAAGGUUAUCAUUUUAUUCCUAGGUUGUAUAGAAAUUACAUUUGGAUACUUUAAUGUUAUUGUUCUCUGUCUCUCAAGAGAAUUAAAACAGAUGUUCAACUAUAUGUCAUUCUCCUUUUGUAUGUGUAUCUAUGUUAUAGGAAAGCAUCAAACCCUGAUGAAUUAUGUUAAUAAAUAGGAAAGAAAUCCAGAUGUUUUCUUUUGGGGGAGUAUAAUUUUAAAGGUGAACUUCCUUAAUGAAAAUAAACAAAUUAUAAAAGUAACACAUGAUUUUUACUUUCUCAAAUGAAACAUGUCAGAAAUAUAUGGAGUUAUAAGGAAAAUACAUCUUAACCUUAUCCCAAAUCCAAAUUCUCUCCACAGAUACCCACUUAAGACAUUCUGGUUUGGAAUAUGCCAGACCUCUUCCUAGACAUCUGCUUACUUACCCCUGUAUAUAGAUAACUGCAGUUUUCUGUAGAUAACUACAGCUUUCUGUGGCCAAAUAUCCUUCUCCUAUUUUUAACAAAAAUGACAUUAUACCAUACAUGACCCAGAGGAAUUAAUAGACACUCUCCUCAGAGUACCAUAGUUAAAUAAGAUCUAAGUGUUUUUCACCCUUGUAUCACUACUCCAUAUUCAAGUUCUUACAAAAUGACAGAUCACAUGUUCUCCCCUUGCCCAAAAGGAGCAGACCACCUUUACUGAUCAUUCUACCAAGACUUUCUGAAAUGAUAGAGGAGUACAUCAAAAGAAAAUUGAGAUGUCAAAAGGUGGAAAAAGAAAUAUUAAAUGGCAACAGCAGCAGAAGGAUACAUCUCUGUAUGAGACUUGCUCAAUAUACUAGGGAGAACAUACAAGUAAACAAAACGUAGAUAAUAAGAGAGAAGAACAUAUGAAGUGUCAUGGGUACAAAGAUGAGGAAGCAACUAACUUUACCUAGAAUUUGGGGGAAAACCUUACCAUGCCUUAAGUGACGAUUAAGAAUUUCCCAGUGAAUGAAAUUCCAGCACUAAUAUAUGGAACUAGUAUAAAAUGGUGAUCAUGCAUAAUCUACUCCUCCUUUGGGGUCCAAGUCAAUUCCCAUAAAUUUCUUGAUAUUAUCUGAUUUUCCAACUACUUAUCAUGACUUCCUCAUUUAGAACUUCAUCAAGUAGUAUAUUACAUUUUUCCUAAAACAUUUCAUGCAUAUGUAUCAUGUUUUUGUAUUAAACAUAAGUAGAUAUUUCAUUUAUUACACAAACCAAGAUCAUUUGCGAGAUUAUGUCUAGAAUAUAUAUGAUCUAAUAUAUGUAAGACCGGGAUUGCUUCUGGUCUUAUUAAAGUGACCUUUUCCUUUUAUGGAUAACAUUACUUUUAUGUAAGGCACAAGGACCUCUCCUGUUAAUUUUGUAACCCUCCAAUAAAUAUUUCACUGUCUUAUGACCUGAAUUUUUAGAAAUGUUAAACUGUCAAUGCAAUUGGUAGGAUUAUAGCUUUUUCCAGAAUUGUUAGGGGAGUGGUAUUUGGUCACUGAAAAUAUCAGUGUCCCAACUAUAGUAUGAUAAAUUUUAUUUCGAUAAGCUUUCCGUCUCUGACCUAAAAAAAAUAAUGUUCUGUCACCUCUUAUGUCCUUGGGGCUUUUGAACAACUAUAAAUUGCUGGUGGAGAGAUAUUUGACAGCUGGGAUUAGGACAUGUGAAUGGAAAGGAAAGGAUAUAUACAGAAGCCCAAUUUAGUUCUGUGUCGCAUGACCUAAUCUCAGAAAGAAGAGUGGUAAGGUUAAGAGGUGAUACCAAAGAAUCCUAGAACGGAUGCCAAACUUUUCUGAAGUGUAUUGAUUGAUUUCUGACAGAAUUUUUAAAGGGAAAAAUAAUAAUAUCAAUUAUAUGUUUAUAAUCUAUAAGUAAUUGAAUCUUUAUAGUAGAGGAAUAUUAUAUAUUAAGGACUGAGUUUUCAAGAAGGCAGCCAUCUGCAAGCCAGGAAGCGGGCCCUCACCAGAACCCAACUAUGCUGGCACCCUUGUCUGAGACUUCAUCUGCAGGACUCUGAGAAAUAAAUGUCUCUUGUUUAAACCACCUAGUCAGUGGUAUUUUCUAUAGCAGCCCAAGCUAACACAUCAUAUUAAGUUAUAAAAUUUAAGCUUUUGUCAUAUAAAGUUAUAUUUCAAAUCUUUGCAAAUAGAGUUUAUAUAAAAAUAUCAAGACUUCUGAUUUCAGUUCUGAUACAUAAAGAGCUUAGAAACUGCCACUCCAUUCUUACAAUAAGAAAAAGCUGAACAUCCUGAAAAUCAAUAAAUUUUCUUGGAAUCAUCACAGCAUUGGGAUCUUAAGGCACACUGCCAUCCUGAAAUUUGUAGAGUCAAGGUGAAUCCAAAGUGUCAUAGCCAAUAUUUCCUUACCUGGAGCAAGCUACUGCAGCUAUAACUGGUAGCAAUUAAAUGACAAUUUCUGGAGACUGAGUGUAUACCAGUGUGAGAAUGAGAAGCUCCUAUGGGCCACAGUCUUAUGGUUCCCCCAACACUCUUGUGAUUUUAAUUUUUACCAGGUUCUGGUGAUGUAGUAGUUUGCUAGUGCUGCCAUAGCAAAAUACCACUGACUGGGUAGUUGAAACAACAGAAAUUCAUAUUCUCACAGUUCUGGAGUCUGAAAGUCCAGGAUCACGGUACCACAGGGUUGGUUUCCUGUGAGGCCUAUUUCCUUGACUUGGAGAUGGUCACCUUCUUGCUGUGUUCUCACAUGAUCUUUCUUCUAUGUGCAUGUACCCCUGGGAUCGCUUUGUGUGUCCUAAAGUCUCCUCUUUUAAGGACAACAGUCAAAUUGGAUUAGGUCCCACCAUAACGGU